This 253-nucleotide ribosomal RNA is filed under the name uncultured bacterium. RNAcentral describes it as "partial 16S ribosomal RNA". It matches the Rfam family "Bacterial small subunit ribosomal RNA", at positions 524 to 776 of the family's 1533-position model. The record is from RNAcentral.
UACAGAGGGGGCAAGCGUUAUUCGGAAUUAUUGGGCGUAAAGGGCGCGUAGGCGGCUUGGCAAGUGGAUGGUGAAAUCCCUCGGCUUAACCGAGGAACUGCCAUCCAGACUGCUUUGCUUGAGGCUGGGAGAGGUGAGUGGAAUUCCCAGUGUAGCGGUGAAAUGCGUAGAUAUUGGGAGGAACACCAGUGGCGAAGGCGGCUCACUGGACCGGUUCUGACGCUGAGGCGCGAAAGCGUGGGGAGCGAACAGG